Molecule: ribosomal RNA, 501 nt
Filed under: uncultured bacterium
Lineage: Bacteria
Description: bacterial SSU rRNA
Rfam family: Bacterial small subunit ribosomal RNA
Source: RNAcentral
UUAUGGCUCAGGAUGAACGCUGGCGGCGUGCCUAACACAUGCAAGUCGAGCGUGAACCCUUAGAAUGAAACUUCGGUCGAAUGAAGAGGGGGAAAGCGGCGGACGGGUGAGUAACGCGUAGGCAACCUGCCCCGUACAGAGGGAUAGCCUCGGGAAACCGGGAUUAAAACCUCAUAAUACCAUGGUAUCACAUGAUGCAAUGGUCAAAGAUUUAUCGGUAUGGGAUGGGCCUGCGUCUGAUUAGCUGGUUGGUGGGGUAACGGCCUACCAAGGCAACGAUCAGUAGCCGACCUGAGAGGGUAAUCGGCCACAUUGGAACUGAGACACGGUCCAAACUCCUACGGGAGGCAGCAGUGGGGAAUAUUGCACAAUGGGCGAAAGCCUGAAUGCAGCAACGCCGCGUGAGCGAAGAAGGCCUUUGGGUCGUAAAGCUCUGUCGGGAAGGAAGAUAAUGACGGUACUUCCCGAGGAAGCCCCGGCUAACUACGUGCCAGCAGCCGC